RNAcentral lists this ribosomal RNA (231 nucleotides) under uncultured bacterium. RNAcentral describes it as "partial 16S ribosomal RNA". It matches the Rfam family "Bacterial small subunit ribosomal RNA", at positions 109 to 334 of the family's 1533-position model. The record is from RNAcentral.
AGUAACGCGUAGGCAAUCUACCUUUAGGACGGGGACAACUCCGAGAAAUCGGGGCUAAUACCCGAUGAUGCAGCGGCACCGCAUGGUGAUUGUUGUUAAAGGCCCGAAAGGGUGCCUAUUGAUGAGCCUGCGUCCCAUUAGGUAGUUGGCGGGGUAACAGCCCACCAAGCCAACGAUGGGUAGCUGGUCUGAGAGGAUGACCAGCCACACUGGAACUGAGACACGGUCCAG